UGGCUUAGUGGUAGAGCGCUUGCCUAGCAUGCAUGAGGCCCUGGGUUUGAUUCCUUG
RNAcentral lists this transfer RNA (57 nucleotides) under Dipodomys ordii (Ord's kangaroo rat). It matches the Rfam family "tRNA", at positions 8 to 63 of the family's 71-position model. From Rfam's summary of the family: Transfer RNA (tRNA) molecules are approximately 80 nucleotides in length. Their secondary structure includes four short double-helical elements and three loops (D, anti-codon, and T loops). Lineage: Eukaryota; Metazoa; Chordata; Mammalia; Rodentia; Heteromyidae. The record is from Rfam by way of RNAcentral.